GAACGCAUAUUGCGCCCUUUGGUAUUCCGGAGGGCAUGCCUGUCCGAGCGUCAUUACUAUCUUCAAGCACGGCUUGUGUGUUGAGCAUUUGUUCUUUAAUGGACAAGCUUGAAAUGCAGUGGCAAUGCUGCGUCUGGUGCCCGAGCGUUAUAGGGCUUUGUCACCCGCUCCGUUGGCUCCAGCCAGCAUUUUUUGGCCAUAAAACUUUUUUUUUUUAAAAAAAAAAUAUCAAAACUGACCUCGGAUCAGGCAAGAAUACCCGCUGAACUUAAG
RNAcentral lists this unclassified non-coding RNA (273 nucleotides) under uncultured fungus. Its description in RNAcentral is "sequence contains 5.8S rRNA gene". The stretch from base 1 to 53 matches the Rfam family "5.8S ribosomal RNA", at positions 102 to 154 of the family's 154-position model. Lineage: Eukaryota; Fungi. The record is from RNAcentral.